This 253-nucleotide ribosomal RNA is filed under the name uncultured bacterium. RNAcentral describes it as "partial 16S ribosomal RNA". It matches the Rfam family "Bacterial small subunit ribosomal RNA", at positions 524 to 776 of the family's 1533-position model. The record is from RNAcentral.
UACGUAGGGUGCGAGCGUUGUCCGGAAUUAUUGGGCGUAAAGGGCUCGUAGGCGGUUUGUCGCGUCGGGCGUGAAAACCAUGGGCUUAACUCAUGGCUUGCUUCCGAUACGGGCAGACUAGAGGUAUGCAGGGGAGAACGGAAUUCCUGGUGUAGCGGUGAAAUGCGCAGAUAUCAGGAGGAACACCGGUGGCGAAGGCGGUUCUCUGGGCAUUACCUGACGCUGAGGAGCGAAAGUGUGGGGAGCGAACAGG